UACGUAGGUGGCAAGCGUUGUCCGGAUUUACUGGGUGUAAAGGGUGUGUAGGCGGGUCUGCAAGUCAGAUGUGAAAUGCCAAGGCUUAACCUUGGAGCUGCAUUUGAAACUGUGGAUCUUGAGUGAUGGAGAGGCAGGCGGAAUUCCUAGUGUAGCGGUGAAAUGCGUAGAUAUCGAGAGGAACACCAGUGGCGAAGGCGAGUCUCUGGACGACUCCUGACACUGAGGCACGAAAGCUAGGGGAGCAAACAGG
Molecule: ribosomal RNA, 253 nt
Filed under: uncultured prokaryote
Description: partial 16S ribosomal RNA
Rfam family: Bacterial small subunit ribosomal RNA
Source: RNAcentral